This is a long non-coding RNA of Salvia splendens (bonfire salvia), 547 nucleotides long. RefSeq lists it as uncharacterized. The transcript is spliced from 2 exons. The record is from RefSeq and is a predicted model, not a curated record. NCBI's taxonomy places the organism in Eukaryota, Viridiplantae, Streptophyta, Magnoliopsida, Lamiales, Lamiaceae.
UCCUCUUUUCCCUAGGUCAUAAUUAUAACCCUCCUUCUAUAUUCCUCUUUUCCCUUUCUUCCUUCUUAUCUUCUCCCCACUGUAUCUCUCUUUAUAAAACAAAAUCCAAACAUUAUAGAUGAAUUAAGGAGGACGGCCGGCCAAGCCCCCGCUGAAGCGGCGGCUUGGCAUAUGCUAUCUCCGUCCCUGCCUCUAAGUGAGAUGAAAGAUUACAUUGACUGUCACAAAAUUCAGCCCUACAAAUGCAACAAGAAAUGGGUUGUGUCGUUGACUCCACUGCCACAUAACCGGUCGGGUUCACUAGUCUAAUUGUAAAAGGAAGCUCACUAACCCGGAUCGCUUUCGUUUUUGCUCGAUUGCAUGCAAGGUCUUUUUCUAAUUUAAUUAUCCUUAUAGCUCCUAGAUUGAAUAUCUAGUCAAUUAUUAUUGUCAUGUAAUAAUAUAGUGCGGAAAAUACCGACAAGAACAAGAUCUAGAUUCGGAAUUGAGGAUUCAAGAUUGUAUGUUGAAAUAUUAAACACAAACGAUAAAAAUAUUUAUUUCGUUA